Molecule: ribosomal RNA, 494 nt
Filed under: Botrytis cinerea
Lineage: Eukaryota; Fungi; Ascomycota; Leotiomycetes; Helotiales; Sclerotiniaceae
Description: eukaryotic LSU rRNA
Rfam family: 5.8S ribosomal RNA (bases 129-282)
Source: RNAcentral
ACAAACCCCCCCACCCUUGUGUAUUAUUACUUUGUUGCUUUGGCGAGCUGCCUUCGGGCCUUGUAUGCUCGCCAGAGAAUACCAAAACUCUUUUUAUUAAUGUCGUCUGAGUACUAUAUAAUAGUUAAAACUUUCAACAACGGAUCUCUUGGUUCUGGCAUCGAUGAAGAACGCAGCGAAAUGCGAUAAGUAAUGUGAAUUGCAGAAUUCAGUGAAUCAUCGAAUCUUUGAACGCACAUUGCGCCCCUUGGUAUUCCGGGGGGCAUGCCUGUUCGAGCGUCAUUUCAACCCUCAAGCUUAGCUUGGUAUUGAGUCUAUGUCAGUAAUGGCAGGCUCUAAAAUCAGUGGCGGCGCCGCUGGGUCCUGAACGUAGUAAUAUCUCUCGUUACAGGUUCUCGGUGUGCUUCUGCCAAAACCCAAAUUUUUCUAUGGUUGACCUCGGAUCAGGUAGGGAUACCCGCUGAACUUAAGCAUAUCAUAAGCGGAGGAAGAAU